UACGUAGGGGGCUAGCGUUGUCCGGAAUCAUUGGGCGUAAAGAGCGCGUAGGCGGCCAGAUAAGUCCGGUGUGAAAGUCAAAGGCUCAACCUUUGAAUGCCGCUGGAAACUGUCUGGCUAGAGUCCGGGAGGGGCGAGUGGAAUUCCUGGUGUAGCGGUGAAAUGCGCAGAUAUCAGGAGGAACACCAAUAGCGAAGGCAGCUCGCUGGGACGGUACUGACGCUAAGGCGCGAAAGCGUGGGGAGCGAACAGG
Molecule: ribosomal RNA, 253 nt
Filed under: uncultured bacterium
Lineage: Bacteria
Description: partial 16S ribosomal RNA
Rfam family: Bacterial small subunit ribosomal RNA
Source: RNAcentral